UCUGUGAUUCUGCUGGACUGGCAAAGAAAGGACUCACUGACCAUUUCUCUGGAAUUCACUAAAGAAGCUUGUCUGGAAAACAACAAACCUUUUGGAAAAAAACAAGACCUGAAUGUUUGCCGUGACUGUCCCUCACUGAGGCCGUGCUCUGUAAUGAUGAGGCAUCACUGACAAAUCCAACACGAGCUACCCUAAACCAGCUUUUAAAAACUGACUAUUCUGCAUUUCCAAGCAGCUUUUACGCCUCUGGGUUGGUAAAGUGAAGAAACUUUUCCACUGGCCUGUCCACCUUUGCCCGAUUCUUCGCUCCUUCCGUUUGUGCCCAGCCACUCCCGAGGGAUGUGCCGAGCCUCCCCUUCCGUGGCUGCUGAGGUCGAGGGGUUACAGAUUUACAGCUGCCCAGACUUGCUCCAGCCCGGGCAGGAAUUCACUUGGCAUAAACGAGGCCUUUGGAUUAUUUAUCUCAGCCCUUCAGUUAAACAGGAACAUGCCCUGAUUUUAACAAUCGUGCUUCCUGCGCCGGGGGAAGGUGUGGCCGAUGGCAUUUAAACCCAAACCUGAGCCAAGGCUUCCCCAGCAGGAAGCUGGGAGUGCAGGCAGGACCAUGAGGGUUUCCUCCAGCACUCAAAACACACCAAGGGCCUCCCUCAGCUUAUUUUAUCACCCCCAGCUGCAACAAUGAUGUGCACGAGGGUGAGAUUCGGGGAGUGUCAGCAGAAAAUCGCACGGGACAACUGAGGAUGAACCUUUAGGUACAGCCUGGCACAGAAGCAGGGAAAGCCCAAACCUCCUCUGGAAGCUGAGGAAUAACUCCCUGAUCCUUUUGUGGUGCUGAAAGAACUGCCAAGGGCAGCCUGGAGGGUCAAUCCCCUUCCACCCUCCCCAAAAAAUGGCAUUUUCCCCCAACAUCCAGCCUGAACUAUCCCAGUUGCAAAUCCUGAGAUCCUGUUACAACAUUGAGAACUACAAAAACUCUUUAUUUCAUUAAUCAGCACUGUAAGCACUCAGGGUCCAGCUGUGAUCAGCCAAGGGGUCACCCCCAGUUUUGGAAGAGAUUCCUACCCUGCCAUUCUGACAGUGACACUGAUCUCCCCCGUCUCAGACCACAGCCAUGGAUUAUUCCCAUUUUCCAAGCUUGCUUUCUAGCCCAGGACUUUGCACCCUCAUGGGCAGCUCUUACAAAACCAAAGCUCUGCCUCCCACUUUUAAAGUCUGGAAGGAAAAGAAAAAAAGCUAAAAAAAAAAAACCAAAACCUCAAACCAGUAGUAACACAUGGAAAUGGGCUCCAGUUAAACCAGAAAAGCAGCCUAGGUUUUUAUAGUGGAAUGACAAAGAUGUUCGAAUCAGAAAAUGCUGAAUCCUGCCCCAGAGUGUCAGAAAAUGACUUUAUGUUUUUAGGCCUCAUCACUCAGUUCCAAGGGCUGAAGUUUUCCAUUGGCCCAAGAUCUCUUACACAGUUGAUUGCUCCCCUGAGCACAGCUCUGACCUCUUCUUGGGAGCCUGAGUGCCACCAGCAAGUACCUGGAGCCAGGUAAAGAUAGACACAUUCCAGGGCUGGUGAUUUUCAAAGGAAAACAAACCAUAAAAUAAACACCACAUUUCCCCUGAAAACAACCAGAAAGAGUAAUUUGAAAUAAACCAAACUCGGUGUCACCUUCUUAAAGCACCUCAGGCCUGACCAAAGGAAAGCACCACUGAACUGCCCUGUUUCUGAGUUUCAUCUCACUCUGGAGUUUCAUCUGGCUCUGUCACAUCCCUGCAUCUCCAGGUGGCCUCUGCUGCCUGCACAGCGUGGUGCAAACCACUGGGGAAAAGUGGGAACACCAAAAAUCCGCCCUGGCCCCGGGUGUUGGGGCUCCUGAGAGAAUGGGGGUGACUGAAAGCAGCACAGGCAGCUCCAGCCUCAGCAGAGCCCGGCCUGCUUCGGGGGAUGACUCAUUUCAGGAGCCUGAGCUCGCUCCCAGUCAUUAAGGAAGGAGUUAAUCCCUGCAGCUUUGGCCACAAAGUGGAUGUGUAAGGCCUGGAGUCCCAUGGGCUCGAUUGCAUAAGAAACCAUGUAUUGUGGCAUUCAGUUGAUCAUGCACUACUUCUUCUGGUCACAUGGAGGCUUGAUUUCCCCUUGCAUCAGCUACUACAGACUUUUCACAUUUCUCGUACUGGUGUCUGUUCAGUUCACUGGGGUCACCCCCUUCACCCCACGGCAGAGCCCGUGCUGCUCACCCAGCCCUGACCCACGGGAUCUCACCCCAGUUUCUGCAGGAUCCUGGCAGAGGAACCGGGCGCUUGUAAUUUUUCUCAUUUGUGCCUGUGCGUAACAGGUGUCAUUUUCAGCGUAGUACAGACAAAUCCCAAAAUAGCUCAGGCUCUUCAGACGCUGCGAGGAGAAAAAACCGUGGUUACUUCAGCUUUGGUUGUAGUGAAAAACCCAACGCUCGCAGCCGGCUCUGGAGUCGGAAUUAAAAUGGCAGACGGAGGAGUGGAGCAGGGAUCCGUCUGCGUUCCCCGUUUCCUGACGGACUGCUCCUCGCUGCUCUGAGCGUGCACAUCCCUCACAGCGCUGCCUUUCCCAGGAGCUGCCCCUAGCCCGGAUCCUCCUCCACACUCCCAGUGCUGGCAGAGCUCUGCCCCCCCUGCCCAGUGCGGGGCUGGCCGGAGGCACCGGAGUUAUUCCAGGGAUUUGGGGGGCAGAGGCGAGGAGGGAGAGUGCAGCUGCAAAAGGCUCCUCGCCUGGGGAUGAUGCCUGCUGUGCUGAAAUGCAGAGCUGCCUGUGGACUGUCUUUGUCGGGGAUUAUUGGAUUCUGGUGACUCCAGGAGCACAGUUAUUAGUUCCCCUGCCUACGCCGAGCGUUUUGAAUCUGUGUGUGCGAUAACACUUAUUAUACUGCUCAGAUUAAGAAGAUCCUAUGGCUUUCCAGCACUUUCAGCACCUUAUCUCACACCACCCAUCUGCCCAGCAGCAGAACCACGCUCAGAUCAGUGUGUUGUGGCCAGCAGAGCAGGGCCUUGUGGGGUCAGCAGCAGCCUCAUGCCCAGAAGCCCUGCACUUGUUCACAGCAGCAGCUCCUCCUAAGGUGCCUUGUGCUUCAGGGGAUCUGCCUGCUGAGGAUUUGCAGGACGUGGGCCUAGAAGAUUUUAUUUCAGGAAGUCAAGCAGUGGUUCCUGUCACCAAAACAGUUAAUCAGAAGCACCAACUCUCUACUGCAACGUGUGUGUGCGUGCACGUGUUUUUGUUUUUCAGAGCCAGCAAGAUUUGCUUUGGUUUUUUUUAAAGCAGAAAACACCAAAAAAGUUGGCUGUGGUUUCAGCUGCUAUCACUUGAGAUUUGUACUGCUGACUACCAAUCCUAAAAGAGUUAACCUGGUAAGUAUGACUCAGAAGCAGAGAAGGAGAUGCGAGGCUGAGAGCCGGGGAGGAAGCGCAGAAACAGAGGUGAGGAACAGAAGAAUUGCCAAAAAAAGGUGCAGAGUCCAGGAGCGACGCUCCCUCCGGUCUGCCUGGCCCUGGCACCGCUGGCACGGGCUCCCUGGAAAGCUGCAGUUCCGCUCUUAUAACACAAGGAGCAGGCUGGAGAAUUUAGAGCUGCGUCACAGAGCUCAGCGAGAGAGUGAGAGAGCAAGCUCCGUCGAUAGGUCUACCAGCAACAGCCCUGCUGCAGCAAGAGGGGAGAGAGGCAGCAAGAGAGGCACAGAGGGCUCCAGGAAGAGAAGUGGCACCAACACCACGGACUGGGCUCCUGCCACCAUCCACUGCCACUUGCAGCCCGUACUGGGGCUCGCCCGGCGUAGGAGGCUUCGCCCAUUGACGAUGCUGGAGACCCGGCGCGCUUAAUCCCGCGGGGAGGGAGAGUGGGCAGACACCGAAAGGGUUAACGGGAAGGAAAUUUCUGGAACCUUCUCUUCUGCGGCGCUCCAGAGCGAGCGCAGGGCUGCGCAGAUGGUGCACGGGCACGGCUCCUCGGUCCGGUUCGCCUCCCUCACCGACCAGCAAUGAAGAUGGCAGCUCUGCCUGGAAGUGCUGAGGACACAGCCAGCCUUGAGCUUGGUCCUUCUGGCCGAGGAAGUCUCCCGAUUAUGCAGUGGAGUGACACACUGGCAGCCUUGGAAAGGAGAGCACAGACGGAUGAACCCUUCCCAAAACAUGCACCUGCACCCUGCCAAGAAGGGCUGACACCUUCUGGGGAGCUUGUGAAGGCAACAGGACAAACUCCAGGUAGCCUGGAGGAGGAGCAGCAGCAUCUUAAUUAUGCUGAAGUGAAACCUGGUUUUAUCAAAACUAUAAAUAAUAAAUGAGCCAUUGGUCUUCAUCUGCUGCAUGGUAUUUCUGGCAAGGCUGGUCUCCUUUGCAGAGGGGAAGAUGUGCAGAGGUUUUCAGUCCUUCUAAGUCUCAUACUUUGACACAAGUUCCCAUUUUCAGCAGCACAGAAUUAAGUGACAUUUCCUCCAACUAUUUUUCAAAACCCUAAUGAAGAUUUCUUUGUAGUGCUUUCUACUGAGGCAAGGAAAAAGCAAAGUUCACCGUGAGCCUGUUUCUCAGAGCUGCUGCUGUGAUUCUGUGAUCUGUGCUGCACCUGCCUCUCCUCAGCAGCAGCUCUUGGUGCAGCUUUUCAGGAGUAAAUCUCACCUGAAAAUAGAGGGUGUCUCAUAAAUAACUGUGCCAGCAGGCAGGCACUGGGGAGGGAACCUGCUUUCCACUUGUCUUUCACCCUGUUGCCCCAGAUAAUGGAUUUAGAAACGACAGCAAAUAUCCAGGCACAGGAAUCUAGUCCAGUUAUUUCCCCUUCCUCCACCCCUCUUUCCUGGAAGGACAAGCUCUUGUCUCUGAGCUUUGCCCCUGCUGCCUGGGAGUGUGCAUUAGGAUGGAGCAGAUUUUUGGAUGUGGUUACAACAGGAAUACACAGAGUUGCCAAAAACCCAGGGCAUCAAUAAGUGAAACUGCUGCCUCCAGUUGUGCUUUGUUCCAUUUCACAUUGGCCUCUGCUCCAGCACAGGUCAGACACUUAUCCAAGGGUUGAUAGCUCCUGAAUUAUGCAUGUGUGGAGCAGUUCAGAGCUUCCCAACACCCCCUCUACUCCCUCUGCUCCAAGCUCUGGACACUGCAGGUUAAGAGCACUGCUCAGCCCUGCUGCAGUUCCAGGAACCAUCAGCCACUCAUUUUCACACUCUCCUUCCUCGACAACUUCCCCUGAACCAUUUACAGUUCCAUUUAUGAAUGCUCUCCUUUUGUUCUGACCCACACUCAAAGUACUUUCAACUCAAUUUAUUUUCAUUCUGCCUGCAGAAUUCAGAAGUUGUCUCACAAAAAUCUGCAAGUCCUUGCUCAUUUAAAGCCCAGGGACUGCUGUGGAGGAAGUUCCAUCAGGACACUCACAUUUCCUUUCCCUGUCACAAAAAUCACCUGAUCUGUCCUCUACUCUCUGAUCAGUGAGUGAAAGCCAGAACUGUCUCUGUCUUGGACAGAAUGAGGUUCAUAGCCUGGUUUUAUCUGCAGUGAAAUGAAAAAAGUGUUCCUGAACCACACAAACUUCCCACACUCACCCCAUCAGCAUUGUGCUCUGCAAUAGCAAGAAAUAAAACCUUGAUCAUCACUUGCUGGGAAGAACUUGAGUGCAUUCCACCUGGCUAGGGCAGGGAACAACACUCACUGCCAGGCUGGGGGUUUUUCCUCACCACAUAUUUAACUUCUUCUCAACCAUCCACAAGAUGCCACAAAAAAAUAUCCAUAAAGUAGCUAAGGCCAAGGUAACUGUCUU
Ficedula albicollis (Collared flycatcher) is the source of this 5750-nucleotide long non-coding RNA. RefSeq lists it as uncharacterized. The record is from RefSeq and is a predicted model, not a curated record. The transcript is spliced from 3 exons. NCBI's taxonomy places the organism in Eukaryota, Metazoa, Chordata, Aves, Passeriformes, Muscicapidae.